This 275-nucleotide RNase P RNA is filed under the name Favella ehrenbergii. Its description in RNAcentral is "partial Nuclear RNase P". It matches the Rfam family "Nuclear RNase P". From Rfam's summary of the family: Ribonuclease P (RNase P) is a ubiquitous endoribonuclease, found in archaea, bacteria and eukarya as well as chloroplasts and mitochondria. Its best characterised activity is the generation of mature 5'-ends of tRNAs by cleaving the 5'-leader elements of precursor-tRNAs. The record is from RNAcentral. Lineage: Eukaryota; Ciliophora; Spirotrichea; Tintinnida; Xystonellidae.
GCCCAUACGAGAGUCUCGUUAACUCUUUCGACCCUGAGCAUAUGGGAAGGUCUGAGGCGCCUCUAACCAGAGAUUAGCGGGAGGGAACUCUCGGAAGAGCGAACAGAAACCAAUCACGGGCCGGCCUGUCGAGGAUAGCCGCGAGGCAGGAGACACUAGGCUGGCUUGGCGACUGAGAAGCUCCGCGGCGUCGAUUUUAAGUACAAUAGGCAAGGCGGCUGGGACCAGCAGUGUCUGUCCCCAAUCAACCGUAACUCAAUUCAGACUACUCUCCU